Molecule: ribosomal RNA, 497 nt
Filed under: uncultured bacterium
Lineage: Bacteria
Description: partial 16S ribosomal RNA
Rfam family: Bacterial small subunit ribosomal RNA
Source: RNAcentral
GAUGAACGCUGGCGGCGUGCCUAAUACAUGCAAGUCGAGCGAACAGAUGAGGAGCUUGCUCCUCUGACGUUAGCGGCGGACGGGUGAGUAACACGUGGAUAACCUACCUAUAAGACUGGGAUAACUUCGGGAAACCGGAGCUAAUACCGGAUAAUAUAUUGAACCGCAUGGUUCAAUAGUGAAAGACGGUUUUGCUGUCACUUAUAGAUGGAUCCGCGCCGCAUUAGCUAGUUGGUAAGGUAACGGCUUACCAAGGCAACGAUGCGUAGCCGACCUGAGAGGGGGAUCGGCAACACUGGAACUGAGACACGGUCCAGACUCCUACGGGAGGCAGCAGUAGGGAAUCUUCCGAAAUGGGCGAAAGCCUGACGAAGAAACGCCGCGUGAGUGAUGAAGGUCUUCGGAUCGUAAAACUCUGUUAUUAGGGAAGAACAAAUGUGUAAGUAACUAUGCACGUCUUGACGGUACCUAAUCAGAAAGCCACGGCUAACUACGUG